This 492-nucleotide ribosomal RNA is filed under the name uncultured bacterium. Its description in RNAcentral is "partial 16S ribosomal RNA". It matches the Rfam family "Bacterial small subunit ribosomal RNA", at positions 29 to 507 of the family's 1533-position model. The record is from RNAcentral.
AGUGAACGCUGGCGAUAGGCCUAACACAUGCAAGUCGAACGGCAGCACAGUAAGAGCUUGCUCUUACGGGUGGCGAGUGGCGGACGGGUGAGGAAUACAUCGGAAUCUACUUUUUCGUGGGGGAUAACGUAGGGAAACUUACGCUAAUACCGCAUACGACCUACGGGUGAAAGCAGGGGAGCUUCGGACCUUGCGCGACUGAAUGAGCCGAUGUCGGAUUAGCUAGUUGGCGGGGUAAAGGCCCACCAAGGCGACGAUCCGUAGCUGGUCUGAGAGGAUGAUCAGCCACACUGGAACUGAGACACGGUCCAGACUCCUACGGGAGGCAGCAGUGGGGAAUAUUGGACAAUGGGCGCAAGCCUGAUGCAGCCAUACCGCGUGGGUGAAGAAGGCCUUCGGGUUGUAAAGCCCUUUUGUUGGGAAAGAAAAGCAGCAGGUUAAUACCCGGCUGUUCUGACGGUACCCAAAGAAUAAGCACCGGCUAACUUCGUG